RNAcentral lists this ribosomal RNA (429 nucleotides) under Actinomycetes bacterium. Its description in RNAcentral is "Actinobacteria bacterium partial 16S ribosomal RNA". It matches the Rfam family "Bacterial small subunit ribosomal RNA", at positions 355 to 776 of the family's 1533-position model. Lineage: Bacteria; Bacillati; Actinomycetota; Actinomycetes. The record is from RNAcentral.
UAGGGAAUCUUCCGCAAUGGGCGAAAGCCUGACGGAGCAACGCCGCGUGAGUGAUGAAGGUCUUCGGAUCGUAAAACUCUGUUAUUAGGGGAGAACAAAUGUGUAAGUAACUAUGCACGUCUUGACGGUACCUAAUCAGAAAGCCACGGCUAACUACGUGCCAGCAGCCGCGGUAAUACGUAGGUGGCAAGCGUUAUCCGGAAUUAUUGGGCGUAAAGCGCGCGUAGGCGGUUUUUUAAGUCUGAUGUGAAAGCCCACGGCUCAACCGUGGAGGGUCAUUGGAAACUGGAAAACUGGAGUGCAGAAGAGGAAAGUGGAAUUCCAGGGGUAGCGGUGAAAUGCGCAGAGAUAUGGAGGAACACCAGUGGCGAAGGCGACUUUCUGGUCUGUAACUGACGCUGAUGUGCGAAAGCGUGGGGAUCAAACAGG